This 520-nucleotide ribosomal RNA is filed under the name uncultured Archaeospora. Its description in RNAcentral is "SSU rRNA". It matches the Rfam family "Eukaryotic small subunit ribosomal RNA", at positions 569 to 1092 of the family's 1831-position model. Lineage: Eukaryota; Fungi; Glomeromycota; Glomeromycetes; Archaeosporales; Archaeosporaceae. The record is from RNAcentral.
AGCAGCCGCGGCAAUUCCAGCUCCAAUAGCGUAUAUUAAAGUUGUUGCAGUUAAAAAGCUCGUAGUUGAAUUUUAGGCCUGGCCGGGCGGUCCGUCUUUGGCGAGUACUGUCCUGUUGUCGGGUCUUCCUUCUGGUGAACCAGUAUGCCCUUUAUUGGGUGUGCCGGGGAGCCAGGACCAUUACCUUGAAAAAAUUAGAGUGUUUAAAGCGGGCUAUUGCUUGAAUAGAUUAGCAUGGAAUAAUAGAAUAGGACGUUGUGGUUCUAUUUUGUUGGUUUCUAGGACCACCGUAAUGAUUAAUAGGGAUAGUUGGGGGCAUUAGUAUUCAAUUGUCAGAGGUGAAAUUCUUGGAUUUAUUGAAGACUAACUAUUGCGAAAGCAUUUGCCAAGGAUGUUUUCAUUAAUCAAGAACGAAAGUUAGGGGAUCGAAGACGAUCAGAUACCGUCGUAGUCUUAACCAUAAACUAUGCCGACUAGGAAUCGGGCGACGUUAUUUUCACGACUCGCUCGGCGCCUUAUG